RNAcentral lists this ribosomal RNA (446 nucleotides) under Klebsiella pneumoniae. Its description in RNAcentral is "partial 23S ribosomal RNA". It matches the Rfam family "Bacterial large subunit ribosomal RNA", at positions 419 to 869 of the family's 2925-position model. Lineage: Bacteria; Pseudomonadati; Pseudomonadota; Gammaproteobacteria; Enterobacterales; Enterobacteriaceae. The record is from RNAcentral.
GGGACACGUGGUAUCCUGUCUGAAUAUGGGGGGACCAUCCUCCAAGGCUAAAUACUCCUGACUGACCGAUAGUGAACCAGUACCGUGAGGGAAAGGCGAAAAGAACCCCGGCGAGGGGAGUGAAAAAGAACCUGAAACCGUGUACGUACAAGCAGUGGGAGCACCUUCGGGUGUGACUGCGUACCUUUUGUAUAAUGGGUCAGCGACUUAUAUUCUGUAGCAAGGUUAACCGUAUAGGGGAGCCGCAGGGAAACCGAGUCUUAACUGGGCGUUAAGUUGCAGGGUAUAGACCCGAAACCCGGUGAUCUAGCCAUGGGCAGGUUGAAGGUUGGGUAACACUAACUGGAGGACCGAACCGACUAAUGUUGAAAAAUUAGCGGAUGACUUGUGGCUGGGGGUGAAAGGCCAAUCAAACCGGGAGAUAGCUGGUUCUCCCCGAAAGCUAU